RNAcentral lists this ribosomal RNA (253 nucleotides) under uncultured bacterium. Its description in RNAcentral is "partial 16S ribosomal RNA". It matches the Rfam family "Bacterial small subunit ribosomal RNA", at positions 524 to 776 of the family's 1533-position model. The record is from RNAcentral.
UACGUAGGUGGCAAGCGUUGUCCGGAUUUAUUGGGUUUAAAGGGUGCGUAGGCGGUCCUAUAAGUCAGUGCUGAAAUAUCCCGGCUUAACCGGGAGGGUGGCAUUGAUACUGCAGGACUUGAGUAGAGUUGAGGUUGGCGGAAUUGGCGGUGUAGCGGUGAAAUGCUUAGAUAUCGUCAAGAACACCGAUAGUGAAGACAGCUAACUAAGCUCUAACUGACGCUGAGGCACGAAAGUGUGGGGAUCAAACAGG